GGAGCUGUGCCUGAAGUAAAGGGCCACUUUGAUAGAGUGACUCAUGAGGGUUAAAAUCCCCCCAACUCCU
Molecule: transfer RNA, 70 nt
Filed under: Artediellus pacificus
Lineage: Eukaryota; Metazoa; Chordata; Actinopteri; Perciformes; Cottidae
Description: tRNA-Ile
Rfam family: tRNA
About the family: Transfer RNA (tRNA) molecules are approximately 80 nucleotides in length.
Source: RNAcentral